This 444-nucleotide ribosomal RNA is filed under the name uncultured bacterium. RNAcentral describes it as "partial 16S ribosomal RNA". It matches the Rfam family "Bacterial small subunit ribosomal RNA", at positions 354 to 796 of the family's 1533-position model. The record is from RNAcentral.
GUAGGGAAUAUUGGGCAAUGGUCGGAAGACUGACCCAGCCAUGCCGCGUGCAGGAAGACGGCCCUCUGGGUUGUAAACUGCUUUUAUCUGGGAAGAAAAAGGCCAUGCGUGGCAAAUUGCCGGUACCAGAUGAAUAAGCACCGGCUAACUCCGUGCCAGCAGCCGCGGUAAUACGGCGGGUGCGAGCGUUGUCCGGAUUUAUUGGGUUUAAAGGGUGCGUAGGCGGCUGAUUAAGUCAGCGGUGAAAGACUUCGGCUUAACCGGAGCAGUGUCGUUGAUACUGGUGGGGUUGAGUGUCGGAGGGGUACAUGGAAUUGAUGGUGUAGCGGUGAAAUGCAUAGAUACCAUCAGGAACACCGAUAGCGAAGGCAUUGUACUGGCCGACAACUGACGCUGAUGCACGAAAGUGUGGGGAUCGAACAGGAUUAGAUACCCGUGUAGUCC